UCACUCUCUUCUCUGUCUUGG
This 21-nucleotide microRNA is filed under the name Monodelphis domestica (gray short-tailed opossum). RNAcentral describes it as "mdo-miR-12328-3p". The record is from miRBase by way of RNAcentral. Lineage: Eukaryota; Metazoa; Chordata; Mammalia; Didelphimorphia; Didelphidae.